This 491-nucleotide ribosomal RNA is filed under the name uncultured bacterium. RNAcentral's name for it is "partial 16S ribosomal RNA". It matches the Rfam family "Bacterial small subunit ribosomal RNA", at positions 28 to 507 of the family's 1533-position model. The record is from RNAcentral.
GAUGAACGCUGGCUACAGGCUUAACACAUGCAAGUCGAGGGGAAACGACGGGGAAGCUUGCUUCCCCGGGCGUCGAUCGGCGCACGGGUGAGUAACGCGUAUCCAACCUGCCUCUGACUGAGGGAUAACCCGUCGAAAGUCGGCCUAAUACCUCAUGGCAUCGUCUGCGGGCAUCCAACGACGAUUAAAGAUUUCAUCGGUCAGAGAUGGGGAUGCGUCUGAUUAGCUUGUUGGCGGGGUAACGGCCCACCAAGGCGACGAUCAGUAGGGGUUCUGAGAGGAAGGUCCCCCACAUUGGAACUGAGACACGGUCCAAACUCCUACGGGAGGCAGCAGUGAGGAAUAUUGGUCAAUGGGCGAGAGCCUGAACCAGCCAAGUAGCGUGCAGGAUGACGGCCCUAUGGGUUGUAAACUGCUUUUAUGCGGGGAUAAAGUGAGGGACGUGUCCUUCAUUGCAGGUACCGCAUGAAUAAGGACCGGCUAAUUCCGUG